UUUCCGUAGGUGAACCUGCGGAAGGAUCAUUACGUAUUUUUAGGCCGGUCUGACCGGUUCUAUUUAAUCCUGUUUUUUGCGUACCCUUUGUUUCCUCGGCAGGCUUGCUUGCCGGUUGGACAUUUCAACUCCGAUGUUAGCAAUCAGCGUCAAAAAAAUAAUACAAUCGUAACAACUUUCAACAACGGAUCUCUUGGUUCUG
RNAcentral lists this unclassified non-coding RNA (202 nucleotides) under plant metagenome. RNAcentral's name for it is "partial contains small subunit ribosomal RNA, internal transcribed spacer 1, and 5.8S ribosomal RNA". The record is from RNAcentral.